GCAACGUCAUUUGUUUUUAGAACAUUUACGUGGAUAAUCAAACAGUAACAUGGAUUUUAAGACAUUUUUUGUUCUUUGUCUUGUAUAUGGGGUGACUCUUGCUUCUCCAUUAAAUGAAGCACCUGGGAGGAAUGUGGCAAAACAUGUUUGGCAGCCAGGGAUUGUCAAUACUGGUCUUGGGCUACACUAGAUGAUGAUUCUCCUGGAGAAUGUUAUCUUUUGGAUGCAUGUGAAGGAAAAGAAAAUUAUCAUCACAUCUCUGGACAUUAUGACUGCACUGAAUAUCCAGAUAUUUAGAUUUUGUUUAUGUAAACAUUAAAUCUUCUUUGAUUAUGUAAACAAGAAAAUCCAUUUUGUUCAUGUUAAAAUAUUAAUUUUCACAGUCUUCUGUCUACAGUCUACUGUCCACAGUCUACUGUCUACAGUCUAAUGUCUACAGUCUACUGUCUACAGUCUACUGUCUACAGUCUACUGUCUACAGCUGAUGUUGUAAACUCCAAUUAAUUAAGAUUAAUUGUAUCAUGAUAAUAAAUAGGCAAAAAUUAAUUUUUAGAGGUUUUUGCAAUUAAUUUCAAUCUCAAUUAGUUUUCAAAUAAAUAUUUUUUUAUUAG
This is a long non-coding RNA of Eurytemora carolleeae, 611 nucleotides long. RefSeq lists it as uncharacterized. The transcript has 4 exons. The record is from RefSeq and is a predicted model, not a curated record. Lineage: Eukaryota; Metazoa; Arthropoda; Copepoda; Calanoida; Temoridae.